This 613-nucleotide long non-coding RNA is filed under the name Mytilus galloprovincialis (Mediterranean mussel). Lineage: Eukaryota; Metazoa; Mollusca; Bivalvia; Mytilida; Mytilidae. The record is from RNAcentral.
AAACCAGAGAACGCCAAGCCUGGUCGAUUGUAUCUUCUUCCUAAAAUACACAAGGUUAACAACCCUGGUAGACCCAUUGUAUCCGCCAACGGCCAUCCGACUGAGAAAAUCUCGGAAUUUGUAGACUUUCAUUUAAGAUCUCAUGUAGAAAAUCUUCCUUCUCACAUUCAAGACACUACAGAUUAUCUUCGCAAAAUGGAAUCCAUGAACCCUCUUCCUCCGGAAACCCUCCUUGUCACUUUAGAUGUCACCUCAUUGUAUACCAACAUACCUCAUGAUGACGGAAUACAAUCGUGUAGGGAAAUAUGGGACUCGCGCAACACUUUAGAACCACCUACCGAAUGUUUAGUCCAGCUGCUUACUCUGGUCCUGAAAUGCAACAAUUUUACCUUUAAUGGUGAGAAUUACCUUCAAAUAAACGGGACAGCGAUGGGGACGAAAAUGGCACCGUCUUACGCCAAUAUUUUCAUGGGCAAAUUAGAGAAACAAAUUAUUUCAACAUCUUUAUCCAAACCUCUGUCUUGGUUCCGUUUCAUCGAUGAUGUUGACAUGAAAUGGAUUGAAUCCCAACAAAAAUUGGAUGCUUUUAUCAGACAUGCAAACAACGCCCACC